This is a long non-coding RNA of Ipomoea nil (Japanese morning glory), 887 nucleotides long. RefSeq lists it as uncharacterized. Lineage: Eukaryota; Viridiplantae; Streptophyta; Magnoliopsida; Solanales; Convolvulaceae. The record is from RefSeq and is a predicted model, not a curated record. The transcript has 7 exons.
UUCUUCUCAAUCGCAUAUUUCAACCUUCUCCUCCUUACCUGUUCUCCUCAAUCGCAGAUUUCAACCUUCUCCUCUCCAGUUUUUUUCCUCGAAGGAUAUGCCUUCUCCUCCCUUGCUCUUCUCCUCGAUCGACGGCGCCUCCUCCUCCUUGAUCAACGACAUAAUGGGAGAUAUAAAAGAACGAAGCUCUCUGAUUCAAAAUAAUUAGGGCAUUAGCCUUCACUUCUAAUUGGGGAAAGUAUCUUCUUAGCUUCAGAUCUAUCAAGCAUUCAGGCAGGCUAUCUACGAUAGAGAAUCCGGAAAACAAUGGACUCAGCACUGAAGUUGAAGGAGGCAUAGGUGAUGAUGUUUCCAACCAGAAUGUGCAUUCCCGCAACUUGCUUCGUAUGAACAGCACAUCACCAACUUCAGACUCUCAACAUAGAAAACCUGUGCAUAAUACAGUCCCAUUCUCUUCACGAACUACUAUGGGGGUAACAGGUAGCCCAUCACGUUUUGCAUGCACUGUGCAACAAGGACUCCCUUCAAAUCCACCCCGCAGUUUCCACAUCAGGGACAAAUUAUGUUGCCUCCCCUCCCUCUCCAGCUGCAUCAGGCAGUACACCAGCAUUUAGAGAUGCCCAGCUCCCCCGUCCGUGGAAUUAGGACUUAGGAGGGAUGCCUCUAAGCUGCUGCUUGUUUUGAAGAUUAUUGAUACAUAAAUUGAUUCUAUCUCGUUUCUCCUGCUGCUGCAACAUCAAACAAUGCAUAUGUAUUAUGGUUCAAUAGUACCAUUAUGGUUCAUCCUAUAGCAGCCUUAUAUGCAAAAGCAGAGUGGUUUCCCUGAUGGGUUUACCCGUUUUUCAUUCAAAGAUCCAAGAAUGAAACCAGAAGGACAAUGGAAACAC